AUCUUGAAAUGACAACCUGUGCCUCUGGGACUCGGCUGCAAGGAAGACAAGUGGACAUGUUUUUCUGUGUAUCCCAAAAGAGGUAGCAGUGUCCUUGCAGUGCACUGGAUGGAUGAAUGAAGGCACUCUCCCAGGCUUCCAACUCUUGGAGCAGAGACAAGCCACUGUGGCCUGGAGGAGCUUGUGGAAGCCUUCACAGAAACGGCUGGGAAGGGCUUGAGGGACAAGAACAUAAUGUGAAACCAGAAAGCAUGAACUAAAGCCAGGGAG
Symphalangus syndactylus (siamang) is the source of this 270-nucleotide long non-coding RNA. RefSeq lists it as uncharacterized. Lineage: Eukaryota; Metazoa; Chordata; Mammalia; Primates; Hylobatidae. The record is from RefSeq and is a predicted model, not a curated record.